Molecule: long non-coding RNA, 1586 nt
Organism: Mus musculus (house mouse)
Lineage: Eukaryota; Metazoa; Chordata; Mammalia; Rodentia; Muridae
Product: predicted gene 3587
Exons: 3
Source: RefSeq, a predicted model, not a curated record
UCUGGCUGGGGGCCUCCAAUGUCCAGUCUCUCUCUCUCUCUCUCUCUCUCUCUCACACACACACACACACACACACACACACACACACACACGAUUAUUGUUAUUCUCUUUACAGAAAGAUACCACUGUAUUCUGCAGGCCUUUGAUCCCCUCAACCCCCACCCUGUAUUUCAGCCCCAUCUCCCUGCUGUUGCAAUUAUGUCUACCGAGCCCUGCCGGCCAAGGUUUCAGGAGGCACAGCCCUGGCCAUUAACCUUUCAAGAACUAAAUGCCAAUAGUGCUGCGUCACAGGGAGAACACUUGCUAUUUACAGCGGCUUGUUCAGACCAGGAGGUACGGGGUAAAGAGAGAUUUGCUUUAAUAACGAGCAGGUGCUUAGAAUUAAUGCAGGGAAGGAAAAGCCUGUGAAGGGACCUGAGCGAGCCCGAAUCCAGGUCAAGCCUGAGGAGACGUCCAGCCAUGUACCACACAGGUUGUUGUUCUCAUGAAUCUGGUCACAGCAGCAAGAAAAACUACUGUCCCUCCUGUGUCUUCUCAGCCACCAGGGCAGCUACAGCCACCCUGCUAAGAGUGUUUCUUCAGUGCAUCAAAGGCUGCAGGAGCAAGCUCCCUGCUCACUCAGAAUGAACAGUCUUCAUCCUCUUGCCCCUUCCCUCUCCCUGCCUCACCUCUCCCUUGAGUUCACUCAGCUCCAGCCAAAUGGCCUCCUCCUUCCACAGGGCCAAGCUCACCUUCCCUCCCAGCAUUCCUCUGCUCAGAGCACCCCCUCCCAUGGCUCCCCAGUUCCCCUCUCCAGGCCCUGACUGGGUUGUCACCUUCUCAUCAAGGUCUUCCCCAGAUACCCUAUUUAAAGGCACAGACUCCCCCGCCCCGCACACUCCCGCCCUCGGUCCCUGCAUUGCUAUCCUCCAGUGCUCUCAUUGCCUCUAACUUACUGCAUAUUUUACUCAUUUGUCUUGUUUAUCGCCUGUCUCUCCCCCAUAAAGUAAAGCUGUGGGAGAGUGGGGAGUGUGUCAGUUUUGUUCACUGCUGCAUCCUUAGCCUCGUGAAGAAUGAUUGACAAAUUAAACACUCAAAAGUAUUUUCUAUGCUUCUUUACUUUGAAUUAACCAUUUUCUCAUGGAGAACGUAAUGACGUUAUUGUUGUUUUACCAAGGGCCAGAAGAUUGCCAAAGGCUCACAUUCAUGCUUGAGAAGCCAUGGCCCCAAGGCUGUGUAACCUUAUGGAUUGCAAAUCCUGACUCUGAAUCCUCAAACGGGCCCCCACAAGGUUAUCAGAUCCAGCACGCAUGUGGAGAAAGCCUGGCUUUUGUGAGGUAAGUGCGGGCUCGUUAGAAUUAAUGAGCUGCCCACAUGGUGGGCGUGUAGCCUAAUUGAUACUGGCCCUGGGCAGGGUUGCACUUUUAAUCACUAAUGGCCUGCAGCCUGCUGCAACCAUGGCCAGGAUGAGGCUAACUAGGAAGUGCCAGGAGACAGAGCAGAGCCACAGGGAGGUCACCCACUGCCCAGGAGGGGCCUGUCUGCAGGCACACAAGGAGCUCAGAACCCAAUACUGGCAGUCAUGCCUUCAGAGAGGCAGAAACGUC